Molecule: ribosomal RNA, 692 nt
Filed under: Phytophthora x cambivora
Lineage: Eukaryota; Oomycota; Peronosporomycetes; Peronosporales; Peronosporaceae
Description: eukaryotic LSU rRNA
Rfam family: 5.8S ribosomal RNA (bases 238-392)
Source: RNAcentral
UUACCACACCUAAAAAACUUUCCACGUGAACCGUAUCAACCCACUUAGUUGGGGGCUAGUCCCGGCGGCUGGCUGUCGAUGUCAAAGUUGACGGCUGCUGCUGUGUGUCGGGCCCUAUCAUGGCGAGCGUUUGGGUCCCUCUCGGGGGAACUGAGCCAGUAGCCCUUAUUUUUUAAACCCAUUCUUGAAUACUGAAUAUACUGUGGGGACGAAAGUCUCUGCUUUUAACUAGAUAGCAACUUUCAGCAGUGGAUGUCUAGGCUCGCACAUCGAUGAAGAACGCUGCGAACUGCGAUACGUAAUGCGAAUUGCAGGAUUCAGUGAGUCAUCGAAAUUUUGAACGCAUAUUGCACUUCCGGGUUAGUCCUGGGAGUAUGCCUGUAUCAGUGUCCGUACAUCAAACUUGGCUCUCUUCCUUCCGUGUAGUCGGUGGAUGGGGACGCCAGACGUGAGGUGUCUUGCGGGUGGUCUUCGGGCUGCCUGCGAGUCCCUUGAAAUGUACUGAACUGUACUUCUCUUUGCUCGAAAAGCGUGACGUUGUUGGUUGUGGAGGCUGCCUGUGUGGCCAGUCGGCGACCGGUUUGUCUGCUGCGGCGUUUAAUGGAGGAGUGUUCGAUUCGCGGUAUGGUUGGCUUCGGCUGAACAAUGCGCUUAUUGGACGUUCUUCCUGCUGUGGCGGUACGGAUCGGUGA